GAUGAACGCUGGCGGCGUGCCUAAUACAUGCAAGUCGAGCGAACGGACGAGAAGCUUGCUUCUCUGAUGUUAGCGGCGGACGGGUGAGUAACACGUGGAUAACCUACCUAUAAGACUGGGAUAACUUCGGGAAACCGGAGCUAAUACCGGAUAAUAUUUUGAUCUGCAUGGUUCAAAAGUAACAGACGGUCUUGCUGUCACUUAUAGAUGGAUCCGCGCUGCAUUAGCUAGUUGGUAAGGUAACGGCUUACCAAGGCAACGAUGCAUAGCCGACCUGAGAGGGUGAUCGGCCACACUGGAACUGAGACACGGUCCAGACUCCUACGGGAGGCAGCAGUAGGGAAUCUUCCGCAAUGGGCGAAAGCCUGACGGAGCAACGCCGCGUGAGUGAUGAAGGUCUUCGGAUCGUAAAACUCUGUUAUUAGGGAAGAACAUAUGUGUAAGUAACUGUGCACAUCUUGACGGUACCUAAUCAGAAAGCCACGGCUAACUACGUGCCAGCAGCCGCGGUAAUACGUAGGUGGCAAGCGUUAUCCGGAAUUAUUGGGCGUAAAGCGCGCGUAGGCGGUUUUUUAAGUCUGAUGUGAAAGCCCACGGCUCAACCGUGGAGGGUCAUUGGAAACUGGAAAACUUGAGUGCAGAAGAGGAAAGUGGAAUUCCAUGUGUAGCGGUGAAAUGCGCAGAGAUAUGGAGGAACACCAGUGGCGAAGGCGACUUUCUGGUCUGUAACUGACGCUGAUGUGCGAAAGCGUGGGGAUCAAACAGGAUUAGAUACCCUGGUAGUCCACGCCGUAAACGAUGAGUGCUAAGUGUUAGGGGGUUUCCGCCCCUUAGUGCUGCAGCUAACGCAUUAAGCACUCCGCCUGGGGAGUACGACCGCAAGGUUGAAACUCAAAGGAAUUGACGGGGACCCGCACAAGCGGUGGAGCAUGUGGUUUAAUUCGAAGCAACGCGAAGAACCUUACCAAAUCUUGACAUCCUUUGACAACUCUAGAGAUAGAGCCUUCCCCUUCGGGGGACAAAGUGACAGGUGGUGCAUGGUUGUCGUCAGCUCGUGUCGUGAGAUGUUGGGUUAAGUCCCGCAACGAGCGCAACCCUUAAGCUUAGUUGCCAUCAUUAAGUUGGGCACUCUAAGUUGACUGCCGGUGACAAACCGGAGGAAGGUGGGGAUGACGUCAAAUCAUCAUGCCCCUUAUGAUUUGGGCUACACACGUGCUACAAUGGACAAUACAAAGGGCAGCGAAACCGCGAGGUCAAGCAAAUCCCAUAAAGUUGUUCUCAGUUCGGAUUGUAGUCUGCAACUCGACUACAUGAAGCUGGAAUCGCUAGUAAUCGUAGAUCAGCAUGCUACGGUGAAUACGUUCCCGGGUCU
This 1372-nucleotide ribosomal RNA is filed under the name uncultured bacterium. RNAcentral describes it as "bacterial SSU rRNA". It matches the Rfam family "Bacterial small subunit ribosomal RNA", at positions 28 to 1381 of the family's 1533-position model. The record is from RNAcentral.